RNAcentral lists this long non-coding RNA (208 nucleotides) under Vitis vinifera (wine grape). RNAcentral's name for it is "long non-coding RNA (VVIN_LNC002940)". Lineage: Eukaryota; Viridiplantae; Streptophyta; Magnoliopsida; Vitales; Vitaceae. The record is from RNAcentral.
UUUCGAUACUCGUACCGAUUCUAGCUUUUCCGAGUACUCGCCCGGAUUCUACCAUUUUUCGGUACUCACACAGAUUCGACCCUUUUCGGGUACUCGCCGGGACAGUUUUUCGAUACUCGUACGGAUUCUACCUUUUCCGGGUACUCGCCCGGAUUCUACCAUUUUUCGGUACUCACACAGAUUCGACCCUUUUCGGGUACUCGCCGGG